GCCAACAUCAGUGCAGUCCUAAAGCUUCUUUUCAUCACCGAUAACAAGAAGAAAAUACAUUUACAACAGGCGUGUCCAAAGUGAGGCCCGGGGGCCUUUUAUUGGCCCUAUGCAGAUUAUGAAAAUAAUGACAGAAAAAGAGGGAAGCCUCUUCAGUCAUCCACUGUCUUUGUCCCUGUGGGUGAAGGCGGGACGCUCACAUACACACAUGAAGGACUUUACUGAGCAACACAGAGGAACAUGUCCAUGCAGCAGCCAUAUUGGAGGCGUGGUUCCAAGCAGCAGCAUGGAAAUAGCUCUGACAAUAAAAUACCUCCAACUUUGAUCCAGUUCUUCCACACCAAAC
Molecule: long non-coding RNA, 346 nt
Organism: Entelurus aequoreus (snake pipefish)
Lineage: Eukaryota; Metazoa; Chordata; Actinopteri; Syngnathiformes; Syngnathidae
Exons: 3
Source: RefSeq, a predicted model, not a curated record